AUAAGCUUGAGGUGUUGUGGCUGGAUCAAUACAAUAAAUUUAACUCUUCUGGUCAUUUUGUAUCUGUUACGCACACUCCCCAUAUACGUACUCUUUUUCUUACUGAAAAAAAUCCAGCAUCUUAUUAAUGCCUACAACUGGAAGCAUAAACUGCCCUGAAUUCCCUUUAGCACAACGGCUGGAGUCGGGGGAUUGGGGAUUCUUGACUUCAGAUCCUAUGAAAUGCACAGUCUUAUCCGAC
Pelobates cultripes (western spadefoot toad) is the source of this 241-nucleotide non-coding RNA. NCBI's taxonomy places the organism in Eukaryota, Metazoa, Chordata, Amphibia, Anura, Pelobatidae. The record is from the annotation of a GenBank genome assembly.